This 781-nucleotide ribosomal RNA is filed under the name uncultured euryarchaeote. RNAcentral describes it as "bacterial SSU rRNA". It matches the Rfam family "Archaeal small subunit ribosomal RNA", at positions 20 to 808 of the family's 1478-position model. Lineage: Archaea; Methanobacteriati; Methanobacteriota. The record is from RNAcentral.
GAAGUUGCUGCUAUCUGGAUUCGACUAAGCCAUGCAAGUGCGGUUCUUCAAGAAUACCGGCAUACUGCUCAGUAACACGUCGAUAAUCUACCCUUAUGUCUGGGAUAACCUUGGGAAACUGAGGAUAACACCGGAUGGGGGAUUGGUAUUUGAAUAUCCUUUCCCUUAAAGGCAACGCAUAAGGAUGAGACGGCGGUGGAUUAGGUAGUUGGUGAGGUAACGGCUCACCAAGCCGAAGAUCCAUAGGGGCCAUGAGAGUGGGAGCCCCGAGAAGAGCACUGAAAUACUGGCUCUAGCCCUACGGGGUGCAGCAGGCGCGAAACCUCUACAAUGCACAAACGUGUGAUAGGGGGAUCCAGAGUGCUUUACACAUGUAAGGCUUUUGCCAAGAGUACACAUCUUGGCGAAUAAGUGGUGGGCAAGACUGGUGCCAGCCGCCGCGGUAACACCAGCUCCACGAGUGGGAACUAUAAUUAUUGGGCCUAAAGCGUCCGUAGCCUGUCCUGUAAAUUUCUUGUGAAAUUGUUAGGCUCAACCUAACAACGUGCAGGAAACACUGCAAGACUAGGGACUGGGAGGAGUUAGGAGUAUCUUUGGGGUAGCGGUAAAAUGUUAUAAUCCCUCAGAGACUACCGGUGGCGAAGGCGCCUAACUAGAACAGAUCCGACGGUCAGGGACGAAAGCUAAGGGAGCAAAACGGAUUAGAUACCCGAGUAGUCUUAGCUGUAAACGCUGCGAGCAAGAUGUUGCAUAUUCUUCGUGAAUGUGCAGUAUCGAAGAG